This 9745-nucleotide long non-coding RNA is filed under the name Orbicella faveolata. Its description in RNAcentral is "uncharacterized LOC110041978, transcript variant X2". The record is from RNAcentral. Lineage: Eukaryota; Metazoa; Cnidaria; Anthozoa; Scleractinia; Merulinidae.
AAUACCUUACAGAUCAGCUUGUUGUAGUAAAGAAGAAUGCUGAACUUAGCACCUUUGUAACUUUCCAGUUAUCACAGCAGAGAAGAAUGCUGAACUUUGCACAUUUGUAUCUUUCCACUUAUCACUGUACAAUAAAGUUGAUGAUUUGAUUGAUUGAAAUGUCAGUCUGUUUAUUGUGCAUACGCGAGCAAUAUCAGGUAACCGCGCGCAGCUGAAAGUGGGAUCAAAAAUAGACCAUGACGCAGAGUUUUUUACUUGUGCGCAGACGCGCAUUUUUUUAUCACAACUUGUGCCGUGGCAUUUAAAACAAAUCCUUCACGAAAAGAAACCAUUUCGGUUGAAAUCCUGUUGGUGUACGAAAACACGACAAGCAACUGAUUCCAACAUGAGCGGGAAUGGUGACGGUGACGAUCCAAAAUACGAUGAGAGCUGCGAGACAAAAAGGAUUGGGCAAAAUAACAAGGAAGAAGCGGAAUUAGCCAUCCCCUAUCUGCCGAACCAAGACUUCGUCGUAACCACAUCUGGAUAUCGUGUUUUGAACCAAGUUGAUGUUGACCGGCGAUGAAUUACGCAUCAGCAGUUUACAAGAAGAUGAAUUUAUCACAAGCGCCUUUAAAGAAACAACAUUUGACAUGAAGCUUAGCUAGCGUGUUAAACUGUAAUUGCUAUUUCGAUGUAAUUGGAGUUCCAUAUUGUCUUGGUUAAAAAUGAAGUAAUAAAGGAAAUCUUUUAAGCGCUCAACUUUGUGCGUCGUCGUAGAUAACGCGCGCUCCAUAUAAAAUGCAAAACGCCCCUAUAUUACAGCAUGAUCAAAGUACGUUUUCUCCUUCCUGUUAUCCAACCGAAGCACUUCUUAAAAUAGCGCACUAGUCGUGCUGACAGCUUGAGUGUCUCGUAUGCAAAGAAGCUACAAUGAUUAUUUUGACUAGACACAUUGCCAUCACAUACGACUAAGUCAUUGUUAUUUUCGCACAGGCCGCUUUUAACGAUGACAGCUCGCUUGGUUCAUGGUUAAGUUAUGGGCGCAAGUAACAAAAGCGGGAGAAGGACGUGUAUAAGAACGUGUUCGAGAAUACACGCGCGUCAAACUGAGGCCCUGCGCAUGAGCCUUGUCAACUUCCAACUACGCGUUGCAUAUUGCACCAUCACGCAGUCAACACUGAGUAAUUUUAAACGAGUGCUGAUUCCAAAAUGAGUUGGUAUCAACAUGACGAGCCGGAUGUUUCUCCUCAUUGCGAAGCAGUAAGGAUAGGGAGAGAUGGCAAGAGUGCCGAAGUGACAAUCUUCUACACACCAGAAGGAGAAUUCGAAGUUCACAACGGGUACUUAGUAGAGAAGAAAUCACGAACAAAUUUGGGGAGAUCAUUUGACCAACUGAAAAUAGUUACUUCAAGAGGAAAACAAAUACUGGUUCGACGAUAUGACGACUUAGGAGAAUUCGAGAUCAUGUCGGAUGGAUACUGGUUGAAGCAAGAGGACGUUGAACUUUGAGAACACGGUAUCAAGGAGAACUGCACUGAGGGAAUUGACCUGUUUAUUUAGUUUGCAAUGAACGUAAGCAUUACACGGAAGGAUUGAAUUUAUCGCAAACGCCCUCAAGGAAGCAGAGAAUUAAAACGUAGAUCCAAGCUUGUGUUUUGUUAUCGCUAUCUCAACGUAGUAAGAGUCCAAGACUGCCUUGUGUAGUUAAUGUAAUAAAGGAAAUGAUUUUCUUCUAAACUUUGUGUCGUAAAUAAAGCGCGCUCUGUCCGAAAUGCAAAACAACGCCACAAUAAUGCAGUGUGAUCAAAAUACGUUCUCUCCUUACUGUUAUUCCGACCGAAGCACUUCUUAAAAUAGCGCGUUAGUCAUGCUAAAAGCUUAAGUGUCUCGCGUGCCAACAGUUUUGACUAGGCAUAUUUCCAUCACAUACGACUUAAUCCUUGCUAUUUUCGCACAGGCUACUUUUAGCGAUGACACUCGCUUAGAUUAUGUCUAAGUUGUGCGCGCAAGUAAUAUGCUCAAAAUUCAGAGCACAAAAUAAUACACUGAACGUGCGCGCGUACCCCGCGAGGAGACUCGCGAGAGAAUGACACGCAAAAUAAACCAAACAUUCUGUCGACGAGUUAAUACGUAAAUUCUUAUUUACCAAAGUAUUUCACAAUUAUGGUCGAGAUUUCUGGCCAUGGAACCACCUGAGCCUGAUCAUAAAUUCGUUGAAAUCGUUAAAGUUGGCAGAGAUUACCACUGGUCUUCAGAUGUAACAAUAUACUACAAAUCGGAAACCAGGAGUGAGUCGACAUUUUCUCCCCGGUUACGAGCAGUAGACCGUUGAAAUCAACGUAGUUUCGUUUUGUUUCGAUCGUUUUAGAGUUUAAAGUUGAAGGCGGAUGCAAGCUAAGGAAAAUUCCACGGCGGACUAUCGACAAGUGUGGAUUUCAAUGGCUAACGAACGCCACACUUUUAAAGUCACGCGAUUUAAAACCGGAGUCUACUGGGUCGAUGAAGGAUACUGGAUAUCUGGACCUAAACUAGUUCAUUUUUAAAGCAAGCUAGUGUCGAGCCGCUAAAUAAAAUGCUUCCAGGUAAGGUUAGAAUGUUUUUCAUCAACGAUAUCCGAGGUAGGCCGACGUAAAUGAUAAAGAAAGAUCAGGUGUGAUUAAAACUAAAUUCUCAUUUCCCCUCUGGUCUCAUUUGUCAUAUAUUGAAAUGUGUUUUGACAGUUGGUGCUGCGCAGCGCAAAUAUAAAAACAUACUCGAGACCACGCGCGCGUCAAAGUGAAGCCAUACACAUCUGCUAUUUCCGUCGCCAAUCACGCGUUGCGUAUCAUUGUAUUGCACCAUCACUCGCUCAACACCCUGAAUAAAUUGAGACGAACACUGCUAUUCCCGCCGACUAGAGACUCGCUAACAGGCGUGAUAAGUCAGUUUUUCACUAAUUCGACACUUUUCAAGCUAAAAUGAGUUGGUUUCAGACGCGAGAUGCAACGAAUUCUUUUCGCGAGACGGUUCAAGUCGGAAUAGAGGGCAGUUUUUACCACGAAGUGACGAUCUACUACUACAAUCGAGGGCGAGGAGAGUUUGAAGUCACAGAUGGAGGCAGGAUUCUGCGGGACCAAAGAGACGGAAGAGAUCGAAGACUGAGUGUUCAAACUAAAUACGGGAAUAAAUUUCAAAUCACCCGUCUUCAUAGAGGAGGAUACUAUUUCAACACUUACGGAUUCUGGAAAAAGGAACUGGGACGUACAUACGACUAUUAAACCCCAAGACCUUUCUGACGAGGACAAGAGCCUAUUCCUGGGAGUGAUGAUUUAGUAUAAGACCCUCAUAUAACGAUUGUUUUAUUGUGAACACAGUUUAUAGGUAAUAAAGUUUUUUCUCUUACAAAGGAGAGAAUUGUGUGGCGUUCUUGUUUAUUCUUAUGCUGUCACAUAAUUCCCUCACGUCACAGGGAGCAGCUAAAAAUAAUCGAUUACCAGACACAUGAAAAUGCGCAACUCAGCAUAACGUACGGCGGAAACGCGCGAGUAUAAUUGAACUGAAGCAGCAGAGCAGACCAACUGAGACCGACAAUAUCGAUGAAUAAAAAUUGUUACUUCGAAGGCUUAAGUGACAGACGUCAAACGAGACAAUGUCAACGGAAAAAAGAGGAUUCUGUAUGACCCUGGCAACAUCGGAAAUGAUCACAGUAUAACCCUACUUAACCGUCAUUUGUGUUAGUAUUAUGUAAUGUAAAACAGACAUUAAGAAAGCGCGCACAAGUCCUGUACACGUGCCGUUUCAGCAGCCAAUCACGCGUUGCGUAUUAAUGUAUACACAAUCAUGAGCUCAACAGUCUGCGUGAGAUUUCUACCGAGUACCGUCAUUCCCGCGGACUGCAGUCUCGAUAACAGGCGUGAAAAUUCAACUUUUCGCUGUAAUUCAACCCUUCUAAAACUAAUAUGACUUCGCCAUAUCAACCACCGGAUCCAUUUAACUCAUUUUACGAGGCGGUUCAGGUCGGAAGAAAUGGUAACGUUAACCACGAUGUCACAAUCUAUUACACCGUCUACAAUCGAGGAAGAGGAGAUUUCAGUGUCACAGACGGAGGAAAGAUAAUCUGGGAAGAGCCAGACGGAACAAAUCGAAAACUUAGAGUUGAGACUAGACAAGGAGUAAGAUUUAGUAUCACUCGUCGUCGCGGAAAAGGAGGAUACUAUUUAAACACUAGUGGAUUCUGGAUAAACGAAUUGGGACGUACAUACUCCUAACCCAAAGAUCUCUCUGACGAGGACAAGAGCCUAUUACAAUUUAUGAUUUAAUAAUAUAAGACCCUAAUAUAACGAUUUUUAUUGUGAAAGCAUUUCAUAAGUAAUAAAGUUUUUUCUGCUACAAAAUAGAGAAUUGUGUGGCGUGUUUUUUUUUAACCCAAUGUUGUCACAAAAUCUCUCUUACAUCAUGGGAAGAAGCUAAAAAUAAUUGAUUACCAAACAUAUGAAAUGCACAAAUUAGCAUAAGCCUCGGCGCGCAUGUUUACAACCACACACGCGCAAGUACAAUUGAACUGACACACCGGAGCGUCAAACGAAUCGAGGAACUCGACUAUAAAAGAGCUUUUCAACAUUAGACGGCGGAUAAAAUGGGUGACGGAUACAACCCAGAUGAACCAAACGCGCGUAAAUUUUGCGAAGUGAUCCAGAUCGGAAUUGAAGAUGAUACCGCCGAAGUGACCAUCUUCUAUACUCCAGAAAGAGAAUUCAAAAUCAGCGAUGGCUUCAAGGCUGAAGAUGAAGAAAGGCAUAAUUAUGGGCGACGAUAUCGACGAUUAAAAAUUGUUACUUCGAAGGCUAACGUGAUAGAAGUCAAACGAUAUAGUAACGGAGAAUACAACGUAGACGCCAACGGGAAACAAUAUUAUUUUGAUGGACGAAAAGUGGAAGUAUAAACAUUCUUCGCGGAGCGCUGCAAAAAAUCGGACAUCUGUAGAUUUAUUCACAACAAAAUGUUUCAAACUGUAGUGUGAAGUGAAUAAAGUUCGUAUUUUGAUGUGGAAAACUGGGUAUGUGUUAUUGUUUUGAACAGAUUUAUUGGCUCAAAACGCCUCCUUCCUAUGAUCGAAUUUCACUCCUUAGCACACUUGUUACUACUUAUUUUUAUUGUAUUCGCGAUUAGUAUUAUGAGAAACAGAACAUUGUAUAUUGUAUGGUUGCAAAUACUAUAGCCUUACCCGAGUCUACCAACUACAUCAGAAGCUGGCAAAAUGCGCAAAACCCACGCGCGCGUAAGCCGCGAAGGCGGGCUGCUUCGUGACCGACAUCACUGAUAAAACGCUAGUAGUAAAUCUUUGGCUUAAUCUAUAUUAGCGUUGCUUAGCUCGAGUUCGCUUUCUGUAAUGCAAAAUUUCCCACCAAAAUGUACAGCUUACAAACGAACGAUUUCGUAGCCAAGGCUAUGAAAUAGCCAAGAUGCACAGAGACAAUGGAGACCUUGCAGCUGCAAUUUACUUGAAGAAAAACGGAGGUCAAACGUAUUCGUGUACUUGCCAUCAACAGCAAAGCUUAGAAAAGCGUCAAUAACUGCCAAAAGGGAAUUACCCUUGCACUUUGUAAAGCGAGAUUUGAUGCGACGUCAAUAAAUUGAAAAUAAAACACUCAAAAGGCAUUAGUCUGUUCAAACUCUGUUCUCUCCCUUCCUCUUGCUCCGCCCACUGAACUUAAAUUAAGCUAUUCAAGGGUUACGGGCACGCGCGCGCGCGUUUAGAACAGAUAAACUAAAGAAAAGAUCAGACAAUCCAGGACAGAAGAAAAUGGGGCUUACGGCUGAGAUGAAAAGGACUUUUAGAAUAGCAAUCGACUUCUAAGAAUUCAAAUGCAAACAAGGAAAAAAGAAAACAAAUGUGGAGCUAAAAUAUGCGUUCGCGUCAAAGGGUGAUAUUAACUCUGCGUAAAAACAGAACUUUCGCGCGAGGCAAACCAGUCAUAGAAAAACACGCAACUAAAACGCGCGCGAUGAAGGGAAUUGACCUUCAUACAAUGUAUUAACAGUCAAUGCGUCUGCAUAACAAAGACUAAUUUGAAUAAAAGUUUGCUUAGCGAAGCAGUUUUGUCAAAUGAUAUUUAUAACGCGCAAACAAUUAUUCCCUCUAAAACGCUGUGAACCAAAUAUCUAAACGAUCCGAGCAAAAAUGUCAGGGACGGAAAAAGAGGAGCCUUACAACGACUUCCAAGAAAAAGUGAAAAUUGGCACUGAAUGUAUACAUCGCCAUGCCGAUGUAAUCGUAUCUUUCGACUCGCGGACAGGAGAUUUCACAGCCGAGAAGGGAAAAAUUGUCAAAAUAACUCCGCAGCGGAUAUCCCGAGACACAACAACUAAGUUAACAGUUGAAUCGGAUGGACAAUCUCGUUACGUUGUCAACCGAAAAACAGGAGGAGUCUACGAGGCUCAAAGCUGGUUUACUUGGGUAACCUUCAAGAGGACUGAAUUAAAUUGAGAUUACAGAUUGCUUCGGAGCACAGCGACCUAAGAAGUCUAGAGAUUGCUUAUCACGCAUUGUUUGAAACUGUAAUGAGAAAGAAUUAAAGUUUAUCAUUCUGUGUUGGAAACGUGUAUCAGUGUAAUAUAAAAGAUUAACUCAACUUUGAUUACGCUCCACAUCAAAGAGAUCCUUAGCAUAAACCCUUUCGCUUUACUGGUGCAAAAUAAAGAGGGACAGAAAUCUAUAACAAAUUUACGAAAUAAACGCGCGCGUGACAGGGACCGUUACGUUAACUGUCACAGGUCGUUCGAUAGACUAAGCUUUAUUCAUCUUCUCUCCACAAAACGGCCUAACAUGAAUCCUACCCACGUCUCCAAACGAACAGCUUUAAGAUUUUAAAGUUAUGUUUAAAAUCUUUGAGAUAUUCACGACAAUUUUAGCUCCAUAAAAAUUUUGGCUUGAUAAAACCAGUGUUCUCGUUCACACUUCAAGCGAGUCCUGGCAAGUUCUGGAAGAAAUUUUCAUGCGUUGCCUGUGGGAUUGUAGCAAUUCUAACCACAUGAACGACGCCCAAUUUAAGAGCCAAUUUUCCGUGCACAAUUGACUUAUUGAAUAUACAUAACUGUACUGAAUUCGAUGGCGCAGCUUUGUUAGCUGCAUGCGAUAAUUAUAAUUCGUUGAACUUCUACGCUGUAUUGAGUUAUGAUUUCAACCAACCCUUGUGACUACUGACGUACUCGUGGCAUAAAUAUUGCCGCCCGCAAGAGGAGCUUGGGAUACAUGACAUCACUUACAUAUGACAUCACUUGUACAUAAAGUGCCGACUCGUAAAACUAUUGUGACACAUCUAUAUCGAAAGUCAUCGAGCUCGAACCCGGCAAUUUUAAAUAUAGACUUUUGGCUAAAAUGAGUCUGUAUCAGACUACUGAUUUUAGUAACAGUUGCGAGGUAUUGAAACUAUACAGAACAGUAUAUGAGCCUUAUCAACAUGAGGCGACGAUAUUCCGAAAGCCAAACGGAGAGUUUGAAGUUCACGGAGCUUGCUUGGUGAGUGAUGAACGAAACCAAGUUUGGAAUGGAGGACGAAUUCGAUACGAUAGAAGACUUAAAAUCGUAACAACUUCGUACAAUGUGGUGGAGUUCGAGCGCCGUGGGACAGGAGAAUACCGAACGAUCACCGCUGGAUAUUUUUUAAGUGACCCAAAUUUUGUACCGGUUUGAACGAGUUCGACGAAGGUGAAGGAAAACUCAAGGCAUGUAACCACAAGACCAUUAGUGAAGAAAAACGUGCUGUAAUAGUGAUAUUCACCAAUAAACGUUCUUUUCACAUGUUAUGUGUUUAUGUCUAUUCAUUCUACUUUGCGCGCGCAAAAAUACUGCUUACCGCUCUGAAAAAUAAAACUACAGAAGAAAUAUAAGUACAAUGUUAUCGCCGAGAUCAUACGGAAAAAUCGAGAAAUCCAAGCAUUUCUUUGCGACUGAUAUACUUUGUUACAGAGAUAUGAUGCAAUGUCUAGAGCUAAACAUGCUUAUCGCGAGGCACAAAUUGCUUUCUCUGCCUACCGCCGCCCCCGUCUUCUAACUCGUGUGGAAACUAAUUGAAUUCACAGUUCGUAAGAGAGACAGGCAUAAUUACAGAUGCGCUUCCAAAGAGCGACCCAAGGGCAAAGAUUUGACUUUUGAUAUGCUAAGGUGGAUAAACUUCUUAGCUUUCCUUGUAUCUGAAAAAACAAAUGUGGAGCUAAAAUAUUCGUUCCCGUCUAAGGGACUGAAAUUAACUGUGAGGAAAUACAUAAACAAACGCACAGCCAGGAGUCGUACGAGAAUGAAACGUGCGCGCGAGAGGGCGCGCGAAUCUAUAACAAGCACACCCACGACUAACACGCACGCGUGAGUGAGAGAAAAUAACAUUGCGAGAAUUCUAUUGAUAGUCACUGUGCGUCUGCACAGACAAAGACUCAAUUUGAAUAAACGUUUGCUUAGCGAAGCAGGUUUGUCGAAUAGUAUUUCCAGGGGGCAAACAGCUAUUCUCUCUCAAUUGCGUACAAAUACCUAAACAGUCUGAACAAAAAUGAAUUGCUUUCAAUCAGACGAGCCUAACAGCGACUUCUUUGAAGAAGUGGAGGUUGGAAGACGUUUCCAUCUAUGUCCCAAUGUUAAACUUACCUUCAACUCGAGGACUGGAGAUUUCGACGUGCUAUUUGGACGCAUUGACCAUAGAACUCCCUGGCAGAUAAACCGAAGGAGACCAACUAUUUUAACUCUCUCAGGCGGUGGACACACUUUUGUUGUCACUCGGCGUCCAGGAGGAGUCUACGACACCAACACUUUUUGGACUUGGGUAACCGUUGAGAAGUAUCCAAUAAAAUGAGGCAAGAGGUCAAAACAAAGGACUCCGAAAAAGUCGCAACAAGGAAUUGUCUGCGAAUGGUCUCACAAACACUCUGGAAGUGCAACAAUUCGUCAAUUUUCCAGUUGUAAUUUUCCUCUUUCUAAUCUUCUUACAGAAUGCUUUGAAGUGCACUGAUGUAGGAAGUCUGCAGAUUAAUUACAACGCAACCUUAUCCAUAGCACUUUAGCAAGAAAGAAAUAAAGGUCAUGUUUUGUGCCUCGAAAAUUGUACCUAUGUAAUAUUUCAAAUAGAAUUACUGGCUUACGAUUAUAAUCUCGAAGAUUUUAGAACUUGAUGACGUCACGUGAAAACGAUCUUAGGACGAUGUGUUCAAGAUUGGUUUUCUCUUUUCCUCCUGCUCCGCCCACUGAGCUAAAAGAUAAAACUCACAGCCUCUGCUUACCAAAGACCUAAUUUGAAUAAACUUUUGUUUAGCGAAGCAGAUUUCCAGAAUAACAUUGCUCACGCGAAAACAACCAUUCGCUAUAAAGACGGAAACAUCUAUCUAAACGAUCUCGCGAAACAUGGCAGGUUUUGAAUCAUACGAUCCCAGAAACGAUUUCUUUGAAGAAGUCCAUCUAGGAAGGCGAUUCCCUCUGUGCUGUUCCAACGUCAUAUUAAAGUACGACUCAGCCACUGGAGGUUUCACGGCCCAGUCAGGACGAAUUAUCCAAAAAACGCCACAACGAACACAAAAGAACACACCAACUACAUUAACGGUGAAAGCUAAGGGAGGAUGCGAAUUCCACGUAACGCGAAACCCUAGAGGAGAAUACCGGGUCGACAAUUGUUGCACUUGGAUAACGGUUGAGAAAAUGUACAAGACUAAGUAUUAAGCAUGUCAAAGAAAGCUUGGACGUCUAUAGAAUGCUCAUAGCAUGCUGCAGUGUUACGUCAAUAAAGAUCACAUUUUCUGUGCA